RNAcentral lists this ribosomal RNA (274 nucleotides) under uncultured bacterium. Its description in RNAcentral is "partial 16S ribosomal RNA". It matches the Rfam family "Bacterial small subunit ribosomal RNA", at positions 523 to 796 of the family's 1533-position model. The record is from RNAcentral.
AUACGGAGGGGGCUAGCGUUGUUCGGAUUUACUGGGCGUAAAGCGCGCGUAGGCGGUAUAUCAAGUUAGGCGUGAAAGCCCCGGGCUCAACCCGGGAACUGCGCUUAUUACUGAUAAACUAGAGUCCGGGAGAGGGUGGCGGAAUUCCCAGUGUAGAGGUGAAAUUCGUAGAUAUUGGGAAGAACACCAGUUGCGAAGGCGGCCACCUGGACCGGUACUGACGCUAAGGUGCGAAAGCGUGGGGAGCAAACAGGAUUAGAAACCCCGGUAGUCC